GGUCGGUUAGGGAGCACGCGGAAGGUCGCGGUGCGUCGCAGCGCGUUUCAACUCGUAUCCUCGUCAUCCCGUACGAUUGUUUGAUGCGAGCGAGUGUCUCGAGAGUGUCGUGGACUGCCGAACGUGAAGUGUCGACGCUCGCAUCGACAGCCGUCGUGUCGAAUGCAUGGUGCGAAGUCACGUCGCGUUCAAUCGCGUUUCACAGCUUCUCCGUUGCCUCUUAUUCCGAGUUUCCGACACGCGCGUGAGCACCAGGAGGGUUUCGAGAGUUCCGAAAACGAAGACUCGUGCGUUCGUAGUAAGUAUGAAUCAAGACGAAUCGUCGUGAGGAGAAUCUUGGAUUUUCCGUGUCACUCGGACGACAAUGGACGGUCGGUCGGGACGACGCGAAGUUAAUUGCGUCGCGCGUUCAAUCGUGUCUUCUCCGUUGUCCCCGUAUCCCGUAUCUCGAGUUUUCGACGGGCGUGAGUACCGGGGAUACCGAAAACGAACCAAGCGUCGUGCGGAUCUUGAAUCUUCGAAAGCCGUGGGCGCCGUGGCUGAAACUACGAGACGGAGCUGGACGGAACGACCAACGGCGAACAAUAUUUCUCGAGAUGGAAAACGAUGAGAAGAGGACAUCACUCACGUCGCCGACUUAUAAUAAAAUAAACGAACCGCAGCCGGUUCGUCGUGUCGCGCGAAUUUUUUCCGGGAGUGUCGUUUAAGUAUUGGACUAAUGAACUUUAAAUAACUCCCAUUCGAUAGAAUCCUAAUUCGAGGGCCAGGAAUCGUACCCCCGCUGCUUGGCAGUGAAUAUUCUUACUGGGGCGUUGCGUAUGGUGGGUGUGCGCGCCGCAUCGCGACGUUUCAUGCCGAGUGCCCGUGCACGAGGUAAUGCCGGGCCGCAUGUACGACAUGUUCGUGUGCAUGUUGCGCGGCUGUCUGGUUGUGUGAGUUUACACGCUCUGUCUCCGGCGAUCGGUUCGGUCCUCAGCGGUUAGAGUUCGGAUUGGUUGCCUUGGGUUCGCGCGUUUCUCUUGCUCUCGUCCACCAUCCUAAGGCUUUCUUAGAUUCUUGAUACUCUUUUUGGAUUCUUUGGAUCUGGGGUUCGAGCUGGGUGAAUGACGUUUAAUCUGACUUGGUCAGAACUUGGCCUUGUAGGUUAAGCUUGUGACGAGAGGCUGGCUCUCAUUUCCUGAUUCGUCUAAAAUGCUAGACGUCGGCAAUGAGUACCUUCUUCUCUCGUCCUGCCGGAGUGUCUUGUCGACGCCGCUUGGAUAUAAGAUCCAGUGGGACUGAUUAAGGUGAUCCGUUGGCUGGGCGUAUGAACGAGUCAAUUUUAGACAUGAUUUUUGUGAGACCAGAGGCGUCGGAUUCAAUGCUAUUGAUUUCGUCUUCUUCCGCGUAGGACUUACCCUUGUUCGGGGGUGGGUACGCGUGCGUUCUACUCGUCGACUCGGGGUGCUGAAUCCACGGGAAUCCCUCUGAAUGGAAACUCAUAUCAUGGGUUUUAUAAACCCGAAGUAUCGUGCAAAAAACUUUAUAAAUAAUUAGUCCACGCGCGCAAAUUUAGUAUAUUUUUCGCGAGUGUUCCGCGUGUGCAACAAGUGGAAGAGGACAACCUGUAGGACACUGAGAGGAGGAGGAGGCCUGGGAGAGGUAUCGGGCUCCAGCGGAGCAACCUUGGGUAUCAUCGUAGCUUCGUGGCUGAGUAACUCCGCUCGUUGCGCAUCGGUCGGUGAGUCAGAAAUCAAUGUUCUUAUAUUUCAAUGCUUUAAAUGUCUUGCGCAGGAUCAAAGCAUAAUAUUUUUGUGAGUGGAAUUAAAGGAAAACUACACUAUUAGCUCUUUAGUACGCAUAGUUAAAAUACGCGAUUUCUGCGAUGAUAGCACGAAGUUAGCGCAGCGAGAGAACCAAUCGACAUCGCGGGAAAGCAACUACAAUAACUUUGACAUAUUUUUUACAUGCCUUUUUUUAGAAAGGACUAGCACGUAGCGCGCGCAUUAGCCGUAGGCCGGGAUUCAUAGUCGAUUCAUUAUUUAAAACCGUCCUAAGUACCAUCCGCCGGGAAUUCGUGCGUUAUAGGAAAAAAGCCGGCCUGGCCGCUUUCAGGUUUCUCUCUAAUUAAACCGAGAUUACGCUAUAUUAAUAGAAAGGGACAUUACCCUUGCAUGGUAACUUGCGUUUUAAAUAAUAUUGAGUAUGGUUUAUUAUUGGAUAUCUUUAUCAGGUAAUUUUUAUCAGGUACAAUAGUAAAUUUCAAAAUUAUGUCUACACAAAUUAUUUACGUAUUGUUUAUACAAAUUUUUUUUAUGUAGAUAAUUCAAGUAAUGCAAAUUAUUAUAAAUUGGGUAGUAUAAUGUGGAAUACAGUAAUUAAAUUAUAGAGCAAUAUAUUUGAUUUUAGUAUUGAUAAAAUAAAAAUACAUAAUAGUAAAAAUAAAAAAGGGAAUAAAAUUUUUACUAUUGAUAAAAUCUGAAUGUUUUAUAAACCAUAGGUUGUUGUUAGAUGCCAUGUAAAACAUAGAUUGCAUAGUUUACAGUUUAUAUAAUAACACACUAUCGAAAAUUUUUAAAGGUGUUGCCUAAAUUUUUUAACUAAAAAGUGGAAUAUUUCAUAAAAUAAAAAUUGCGAAAUAUGUUUGUAACAUUACUGAAAUCACUGUGAAAUAGCAAAAUAUCUGUGAUUUUUGUACUUGAAAUCUUGUUGGAAAAUUGCUGAAACGUUUAUUAAAAAAAUUUACAACCUUUCUGAAAUAUUGCUGAAAUUAAGGUUGCACGUUUACAUUGUUAUGAUUCCUUGUUCUACUUAGACAUGUAUAUAUUAUAAUAGUAUGUUAAAUAACAAACAGCAUUUGCCAUAAUGCUUCAAUUUUUUUUUUAAUUAAAAGUUUAUUUUGAGUUUUUAAGAAAAGUUACUUUAAUAAUUAUUAUUGAAACCAUUUUGAUGUUAUUUUAUUGUUAUGUUGUUUUUGUUUAAACAUGUUUUGUUUAAAAUGUGUAUUUUUAAAUUUACUGUAUGUAAUUGAUUUUAGAAACCUUUCUGUUGCAACAUUUAACAUCACAAAGUUUUAGAAACAUUUCUGUUAUAAUAUUUCCAAUGACAUUUUAUGGAGUUUUCUCAGAAUUGUUCACAUGAAAUAUGAAGUGUUAAAAUCUUUCUGAAAACUUUUGCAAUAAUUGAUGCUAGGGUUAUAUACAUGUAAUGUAGAUUAAUUCUAUUUGACGCGUAAUUAUGCUCAACUUUGAUCUCCAUUGCAAAUAAUUUAUAUUAUGAAAUUAUUGUAUCCUUUUAUUUGAAAAUUUUGAAAGCAAGAUGUGUCGCGUGAAAUCUUCUUAUUUAAACAAUAUUUCAAAUAGAGAAAUCGAUAGACCCUGUUUUUUGUCCUGUUAUACAUUUCCUCUGAUCACAAUAAAUAGACUAUCCGUCUUUCUUCUUAGAAACGUCAUAAUUAAAUAAAUUUGUAUGAUUAAUCCAUAGUUAUUUUUAACUACAAAUUUCCACGGUUGAAGUUAAAUAUAUUUACUAUUUUAUCUCAUUCUUGUGAAACCUCUGGAUUUCAAACUCAACAAGUAAUUAAAAGUUCAUUUAAAUUUUCUCAUUUUAUGCUUUAAACUUUUUUUCUAGGUAAAAAUAAUUAUCUGUAAAUGAGAAAAAUCUUAAGCGUACGAGUUCAGGAAUUAAACGCUUUUAUAAUUAUAUACGUAUACCAAUAAAACUUUUAUAAUUAUAUACGUAUACCAAUAAAACUUUAUAAAAUUUAAGCUAUAAAAUAAUAUAACAUAGAAAAAAAAGAUUUGUUAAAAUAAGAAUAUCAUUGAUUCAGCAGAUCUAUAAUUCUAAUGUACAGACAGUUUUUUGUAUUAAAUAGUAAAGUUUUAAAGCUGAAUAAAAUUAGUGAUUAUAUUGGUUUUAAUAGCACAGCAAAAUUGUUAAUACAACAAUUUUUUGCGAAUAUAUUGGUUAAAAUUUUUAAUGAAACAUAUUAAGUUAAGAUGGUAUAUAGUUUUACUACUGUAAGAAAACUUGUCUCAUUAGCAAUUUUCAUUGUAGCAAAAAGAAUUUGUUGCAUUGAUAACUCAUUCAUUAAUUGCUUUCAUUAAGUGCUUUAAGAAUUGCGUAAUUUCUUUGUCGAACUUUCAAGUUGAAUUCGUGCAGCAAACUUUGCUGAAUCAUCUAAUCUAUUUUCUUUCAUGUAUAAUUUGUAAUGACAUAACCAAUUGAUUUAUGUGGCAGAUGAUAAGCAAAGUUAAAUUGCAAAUAUGAAUUGAUUCAGUUGCAAAUUUUUAUGAAUUAUUAUACGCAAGGAUUUGCAACUUUAAUAAAAGAAAUAAAAAUAUUUUAAAAGUACAUUUUGGAAUUUAUUCGUGACGAUGUAUGUUGCGAGUAUUCUAUUUUGAAUAAAUUUUCCAAGAAAAUACUUCAAAGGUCUUUUAUACUUUUUUAAUCUAUUAAAAAAUUAAAAAAAUUUAAAUUGCAUGGCUGUUGUGUAUAUUAAAUCUUUUUGUUUCGUUUUCUUCAAUUGUCGCAUUUAUUGAUUUAGAUAUGGAGAAGGGCAAAAACAGUGAAGAAUUAUCCGCAUGCAAUCAAAUUGAGGGUGUCCAUUAAGAUUGACAUCGGGGAUGAAUAAAAUAUAAUUAUAUAUGCACAUCAAUGCAGAAUAAUUUUCCGUUUGUGCAAUUACAAAAGAAAGGAAGCGUACAAAUUGAUGCAUUAGUUGCAGCAAAGCUGAAUUUAUAAUUGUAAUAAUUUUUUAUAUGUAUUAAUGCUUUAGUCUUUAAAACAUAAUUAUUUAAAAUCGAUAUUUGUGUCUAAAUAUCUUUUCUUUGUAAUUAUAAUUAUCUUGACAUCUCUUGUACGGUAUUUUGCGAGCAACUGUUGUCGCGUGUUUUAACAGUUUGCGUGAAAAUGGAUUGAUAGUACGUAAGUUGAUUAUUAAUAUAACGAUUAAUAAGCGAAAAAAUGAUUUUAUCAAAUUUAAAAAAAAGUUUGAUAAUUAUCAAAAAGGAAAGACAUUUAUCACACGCUCAUGUGUGUGUGCGUGUGCGCGCAGUAUGUUUGUGGUAUUCCAAUAACUCUAAAUUAAAUUCAUGUUCUGUUGCAAAUAAAUAACGCUAAUAGCGUAUCUUUAAUUGCAUUUAACAGCUAUUUUGAGUUUUAUAUUUUUUCUUUUACAAAAAUAUUCUUUUUUUUAUUGUUUAUAUGCAUAUUUUUAAUUCUAUAUUUAUUAUAUUUAUUUAUUAUACCACAAAGUAUUUGUAAUUGAUACUAAAGAUACAAUGGAAAAAUCUUCGACUUAAAAUAAAAUUAUGAUGAAUAAGGUCACGCUAUAGUAGAGCCCAAAAUGUAAUUGUAGAUAUAUCUGUUUCAUAAUAUAUUCUGCAUACUGAUGAAUUUAAAAUACGUAAUAGUAUGUGUACGAAAUAAUAUUAUAAUCGUGAAAUGACAAUUGUUAAUUGCAUUUGUUGCAUAUGUAUGCAAAAUUGUUUUUGUAAUGCAACGCUUUAAUGUAUCAUACGCUUUGUGUGUUAAGCCCACUCAACAUAGUUUAUAGCUUCUCAUUAGUUUGACAUGCUUGGUACAAGCUUUAUUUUCCCCUCACGUAGUAAUAGUAAUGAACGUCAGAAGUUUCGGGAUCUUUCGAUGCAAUAAAGAUAGUAUUACAUGACAUAUUUUGAGUAUAAAAUGGCAGUUAUUUUCAUGACUUAAUAACAUGGAAGAAUGUAUAUAUUCAAAUUUAACACUAAACUAUAUACUGCUUUAUCUAUUUUGCAAUCUGCAUUUUACUUUUCGUUUUAACUUUUCCAUGUAACGAAACACAAAUUCACACAAAAAAGUUGAAUGCAAAAUGAAUUGCUGCAAGGGCCGAUUCGAGGAAAAGGUAAAGCAUUAAAUUAAAGUCUUCAUAAAACCUUCAAUUGGAGUAGAGGUUGCUUAUUUACUUAUAUAUAUUUAUUUGGGAGAUAUUUGUAACGAAAUGUACCCAUAUAACCGAUUUAAUUAAUUAUUCCCUUUUAUAUUAAUAUUUUAGUAUUUAAUAGCAAUUAUAUUUAAAUUAUUUAUUUAUAUAAAAACGUAAGCAUUUAACGAUCAAUAAAAUAAAAUCUUCACAAUUGUCGUGUACUUUCAAGAUUCUCAACAAUAAAAAUAGGUAUAAAGCAGGUACUAUACAGAAUAAAAGCAUUUUACGUACAUAUAGAAAGCAUCCCAACAUCGAACAUGACUAAAGUGAGUAUCGAAUUUUUAAAAUUCCUGCAUAAAGAAUCAGUGAUGCAUCGGCAUAAAUUUAUGCAUGAAGAAGCUACUCAAUCUAAAGCUAAAUCGAUCUAUAAUUUGCGUCAAAUUUUAGGAAUUUUAUUGUACUUAUAAUUUUAUUUGGCAUGUCAUGUAUUUUGAGAUAUAAUUUAUGUAUAUUUAUUUUAUACACGGGGGUGUAUUUUAAUUCUUUAAAUAUUUUUCUUUUAUAUUGCACAAUAUGCAAAAUUAUAAAAAAAUUUCUGUGCUAUAAGAUGUGAUUUAAUGAAUUAGAAAUUAUUAAAAUGCAUAACUUUUAAACUAUUAUAACGCUCAAAAAAAUCAUACUAUUUGUAAACAGCAGUUAGACCGCUGUCAUGUUUCUGUUAAUUUUAAAAAUUUCUUAUAAUAAAAAAUGUAUAUUUUCAAUUAUUCUGAAUAUUUGUAAACAGGGGAGGCGGAGAAAGAUGUUUUAAUAUGAGGAUUAACAAAAAUUCACAUUUGCAAAGUGUUUCUAAAGUUUAUAAAACUUUAUCCGUUAUAUUUUAGAAGCAGUUCAAAAUAAAAAAAAACCACGAAAUAUAUGCUUUAUCAUUUCGCGGGACUAUUUUUUUAAGGGGUUUAUGGAGAUUGUUUCUUUUUAAGGGAUAUUUUAGGGGUACCCCAUCUUAAAUAUUUCAAAUGGAAAUCUCCAUAUUAUAAUAUAUUAUUUAAAAGAGUAUAAAAAAAGAAAUUUUUUAGCACAAAACGGAAGUUGAUACGUUGACUCGUCCAAGAAUUAUUUAGGGUCAAAGACCGAAAAAGACCAAUUAAAAAAAAAAAACGUUAGAUAUUCCUAUUUGAAAAAUUUUUUAAAUCUUAAAAGAUUCUAAGAAAGAGAGUUGAAUUAUAAAAAUUUUUCUAACAUUAAAAUAUAACAUCAUACCAGUAAACAGGACGUAGAUAAAGAACAGUUACUGUACAUGUCCAAUUCUUUGAAAAAGUAGGAAAGGGUAAACCCCUUUGGGUCCCUGUGAAACCUCUACAAUUUUUCAACCAUUUUAUAUUACACGUUCCCUACAAAUGGGACCACUGCAGUGUUUGCUGGAGAAAAAUGGCUUACAAAAAUAUCAUGAGUUUAGAGCUCCUCUUGCAAAUGUCAAGGAUGUUAUUGAUAAGUAAAGUUUUUAUAGAAGUCUGUAAGACCGGCAUUACAGUUUAAGAAUUAAGUUUUGUCACCAAAUUUAUCAUGUAAUAAAGAAUUAUUUCUUCUAUUAAUUAUUUAGUUUAUCAAUCUUUACUAAUAGUAGUUGAUAUAUUUAAAUGUCACGUGACAUUUUUUAAUGUCACGUUGUCUAAUAUAACCAAUUAAAA
Long non-coding RNA from Solenopsis invicta (red fire ant), 7569 nucleotides. RefSeq lists it as uncharacterized. Lineage: Eukaryota; Metazoa; Arthropoda; Insecta; Hymenoptera; Formicidae. The record is from RefSeq and is a predicted model, not a curated record. The transcript is spliced from 3 exons.